Molecule: long non-coding RNA, 1984 nt
Organism: Megalobrama amblycephala (Wuchang bream)
Lineage: Eukaryota; Metazoa; Chordata; Actinopteri; Cypriniformes; Xenocyprididae
Exons: 4
Source: RefSeq, a predicted model, not a curated record
GAUGUUGGUAAGUAGUCGUAAAUACGCUGUUCUAAUGUUUGAUAUAAUGUCUUUUCUGUUUGCAGAUAUUAAUCAGAUUAACGUUAGCUCCCUCAUGUUCAGUCACUGCAUUAUAUCUGUCACCUCCACUGAGGUUUUGCUUUUCAUUGCUUUCUAUAUUAAAUACUAAACUAGGGUGAUUAAACACUGUCACGUGACGUGCAAUAUAUUGCACAAUAUAAUAUAACAUAUUCAUAUCAGGUUCAAAGUAGUACAAGUGUAGUUUCAAAAUGGUAUUUGUUGUAGAAGCACGGUAAAAAAACAACACUUACCAUGCUUUUUACCACAGUAUUGGUAGUUUUAAUGUGAUUUUUGUUGUAAAUACAGAGUAACCACAACACUUAUCAUGCUUUUAAUGCCUAAUAAUGUUAAAUCCAAAAACUGUAAGGUCAAUAAGAACUUCUUUCCUAUAUAUAUUUAGGCUAUAUAUAAACCUAUAUAUUAUAAAUAAUGAUAUUUUCUUUUCUCUUGUUUUAGCUGAAAAGACAAAAAGGGCCUUUCGGAAAUGGAUGAAGGAGACAGAAAGCUGCAAAGGCAAAUAAUUGCAAUGGUAUGUAUGUGUUGCUUUUAACCCUUUAUCAAACAUUUUAUCAAGCAUUUGUUAAAUAGUCUCACAGUAAAUUAAAAUUAAAGUCAAAUCCUGUACAUAUUUAUCACCUUAUUUGUAAAUCAGUUGUGCCCCUUCUUGGACAGUUGGACGUCCCACACAUAAAAGUUUAUAUUAAUUCCAUUGAAUUCUUUAAAAUGAUUACAGAUUGGGCCCAAAAUGUUCCAAUGAUACAUGAUGUCUCUCCGCACCUCAUAACUACCUCUGUUUGCAAGAGUGGAAAUUAUCAUUUGACUUGUCACAUGACAUCAGAUAUUCGAUUAUUUUGUCAUAAUCAAAAUAAUUGAAUAUCUGAUGUCUAUUCAAUAUCUAAUCAGUUACACUGCUGAUAAUGUCCUGCUUGCAUGUGAAACAUGUUAUUUUUUUAUUUAUUCUUUUAAAUAUAAAUAUAGCUUGCUAUUAAAGACAUAUGUUUAAUCAUGGAAAUGCCCACAUAUCAGUGAACUUAUUACAUAAAUGCAUUUAACAUUUAAUUAUGCAACACUCUUUACAGAAGGAAAUCCUACAGUUAUGUGUAAAUUGACAACUUGAAUGUGAUGUAAUAAAUUUACCUUCCUUUCUGUCUUGCAGGAUUACUUGCAGAUUACUUAGUCCUUCUUUUUAGGAUCUCUACAACGUCAAACUCAACAGCUCUUUUAAGAGCCGACCCUCACAAGAGCUACUAGUGAGUCGCUGCAAACCUGCCAUGAUCAGCCCUUUCCAGAGAAGGAAGACCAGUCCUUAUAUCAAAACAAGCUCAUCGAAGUCCUUUGUUUAGGGUGAGGAAGGAACAUGACCAUCUCAUGCCCAAAGAAGACAGAAGUCCAUUGAUAGCAAGUGAAGUCACUAACAGAAGAUCCUAGAGGAAAAACGACUGAUGUGCAGCUACAGAGGAACACAAGAGGCAGAAACUAUGCGUGGCCAUGGCUUCUUCAUGAGUACGACCAGGACUGAAGAAUGCCUGACAAUGGGAUGUUAAGACUUCUUCCUCUGGAUGAGAAAAAGCUACAGCACAUCAGUGAUCACAUCUUCUGGUCAUCAGUUGUACUGUAGAGUACAAACUGUUUAGAAGAAGAACAUGAACAUGAUAGAGACGUGUACAGGGAAGAGCAAGAACCCAGUUCAGCUGUGAUAAUGAAUCUUUAUUUUAAACUCAAUAUCAAAUCUGUUUUCUGGAUCAUAGUUGACUGGAUGGGAUUCUGUGGCGCUCAUUUGUGCAAUAGGAGUAAAGUCUGUGAAUGGAUUAUUAUGACGUUAACGUAUUUUUGAAGACACGUUUUUAUUUAUCUUGAAUCUCAUUUGUCUUUAUGCAAAUUUCAACCUUAUGCUGUAUCCUCCAAUAAAGUGUUGUGUAAUAAA